Molecule: ribosomal RNA, 328 nt
Filed under: uncultured eukaryote
Lineage: Eukaryota
Description: partial 18S ribosomal RNA
Rfam family: Eukaryotic small subunit ribosomal RNA
Source: RNAcentral
CCCUUAGAUGUUCUGGGCCGCACGCGCGCUACACUGACGAAUGCAACGAGCUUAUAACCUUGGCCGAAAGGUCUGGGUAAUCUCCAAAUUUCGUCGUGAUGGGGAUAGAUUAUUGCAAUUAUUAAUCUUCAACGAGGAAUGCCUAGUAAGCGCAAGUCAUCAGCUUGCAUUGAUUACGUCCCUGCCCUUUGUACACACCGCCCGUCGCACCUACCGAUUGAAUGGUCCGGUGAAUCUUUAGGACUGUGGCUGAGGCCUUGCCUUGUGCGGGUCUGGCCGUGGGAAUUUAGUUAAACCUUACCAUUUAGAGGAAGGUGAAGUCGUAACA